This 485-nucleotide ribosomal RNA is filed under the name uncultured bacterium. Its description in RNAcentral is "bacterial SSU rRNA". It matches the Rfam family "Bacterial small subunit ribosomal RNA", at positions 21 to 507 of the family's 1533-position model. The record is from RNAcentral.
GGCUCAGGAUGAACGCUAGCGGCAGGCUUAACACAUGCAAGUCGAGGGGUAUAGUUCUUCGGAACUAGAGACCGGCGCACGGGUGCGUAACGCGUAUGCAAUCUACCUUUUACAGAGGGAUAGCCCAGAGAAAUUUGGAUUAAUACCUCAUGGUAUAUAUUAUUCGCAUGUUUGAUAUAUUAAAGUUCCAACGGUAAAAGAUGGGCAUGCGUCCUAUUAGCUAGAUGGUAAGGUAACGGCUUACCAUGGCAACGAUAGGUAGGGGUCCUGAGAGGGAGAUCCCCCACACUGGUACUGAGACACGGACCAGACUCCUACGGGAGGCAGCAGUGAGGAAUAUUGGACAAUGGGCGCAAGCCUGAUCCAGCCAUGCCGCGUGCAGGAAGAAGCAUCUAUGGUGUGUAAACUGCUUUUGUACGGGAAGAAACACUCCUUCGUGAAGGAGCUUGACGGUACCGUAAGAAUAAGGAUCGGCUAACUCCGUG